Molecule: long non-coding RNA, 1159 nt
Filed under: Capra hircus (goat)
Lineage: Eukaryota; Metazoa; Chordata; Mammalia; Artiodactyla; Bovidae
Description: lncRNA (ENSCHIG00010002947.1)
Source: RNAcentral
AUGGGGUUGCAAAGAGUCAGACACGACUGAGCGACUGAACUGACUGAACUCUCAUAGAGGGGAGGAAGGAGAGGGCCAGAGGCAUUCAGUGACUUGCUGGAGGACUCUGAUGUUAUUGGGGCUGAGCCGGUUGCAGGGUUAGGGCAAGUCCUGGCGGGAAUGCCGUGGGUACCAGCUGAGUCUGGGGGAGACCACGGGAGAAGGUGCAGAGAGUGCUUUGCUUGUACCUUCAGCUGUGAGUUUGUGGAGAGGCGGGAGGCCUGGGAGACAGCUGGACUUCAAAGGCACCUGAGUGUGUAACCUUGACCCCCUUUCUUUUGUUCAGCUGCAGGAAAAGAAGGGCCAGUUCUAAGAGGUCUCACUGUACAGCUCUCUCCGAAUGUCUGCUCUUUGAGACCGAGUUCUGAGUGGAGUCCUGUGCUGUCGGACUGGCGGCUGCCUUUCUUCCCUGGCGGUGUGUGUGUUCUCCGUGUUUCCAGGCGAGCUCCCGUACAAAGAUGGAACCUGCCACAGAAAAUUUUCAGUAACUUGCUGGAGGUUAUUUGGGUGGUAAAUGGUAGGACAUGCGUCCAGGGAGAUGCUACAGGGAUCUUCAACAUCCAGUUCUUUGUUCUUAAUCGUUGGAUUGAAGACCCAGAACUAAAGUUCUCACAAAUCUAAUUGAUUAUAUUGCGUGCGUGCCAAGUCACUUCAGUUGUGUCCGACUCAUUGCGACCCAGUGGACUGUAGCCCACCAGGCCCCUCUGUCCAUGGGAUUCUCCAGGUAAGANNNNNNNNNNNNNNNNNNNNNNNNNNNNNNNGGGAAUCUCCCCAACCCCUGGAUAAAAUCCGCAUCUCUAAUGCCUCCUGCAUUGGCAGGUGAGUUCUUUACCAUCUGCCCCAUUAUAGAGAUGCCUGUAUUUUGUCUUGGAAACUGCUCAAGAAUGUCAGUAUCAGAGGCCGUAAACUUUUCAUGCAAGAUUGUAAGUCUUAAGCCAGGGAGCUCAAUUUGUGUUACCUGACACUUUGAGGUGGGCUGGAGGUAGAGAAUGAGCUAUGUAAAUAGCUCCUAAGGCGGUGAUCUCUAGGGGGUGCUUGUGUUUACCUUGGAGAAGAGUUUAGGGUGACAGGCUCUUUGAGUGCUUCUUGUGUUUUGAAUUUCAUCAGAGUCAGUUCUUUA